RNAcentral lists this small RNA (27 nucleotides) under Bombyx mori (domestic silkworm). Its description in RNAcentral is "ovarian small RNA-22062". Lineage: Eukaryota; Metazoa; Arthropoda; Insecta; Lepidoptera; Bombycidae. The record is from RNAcentral.
UAGAUAAGUACUUGGUGCUGUUAUAUC